RNAcentral lists this long non-coding RNA (245 nucleotides) under Setaria viridis. Its description in RNAcentral is "long non-coding RNA (SVIR_LNC010407)". The record is from RNAcentral. Lineage: Eukaryota; Viridiplantae; Streptophyta; Magnoliopsida; Poales; Poaceae.
GAAGGUGUUCAACUUGAAAGUUAUACCAAAAUUAUUUUUAUUUGCUUCACAAGUUAUUCUCAACAGGAGGGAGUUUUUAAAACUUGGUUCGAAAACUGAGGUAUUUUUGGACCUUAACUCUCAGUAAAUUGGAGUUAGCUUUGAUUUGCUUCUUAAUCACCCUAUUGAUUAUUUGAUUUAGGUUCUUAAUUACUUGGGCUGUCACAGCCGGACAUGUGUUUCGUGGCGCCGAUGGCACUUCCCAC